AUAAAUAUGAAUUUCAACGAAAUAAAAUCGAAGAAAGCAAAUAAUCAAAUUUAGAGUUGAAUAUGGCAAAGACUGGGAAUUGAACCCGAGUACGACGGAUGGUAACCAAAGACCCUAUCCAACAAGCUAAACAACCAAGUAUUAGAGACAAAAAAUCUCGCCCGCGACCUGAACAAAGCUGCGAGGUUGUUGCAAGCUCACAGCAGCUUAUUGCAUCAAGAACAUUGAAACAUCUCAAAGAACGUUUUAUAGAUCAAAAAAUGUUAGUGAGGCUAACUAUACUAGGCCACCCAGGCCUGAUAGUGACACUGAGGAAGACUCAGCUGCUGAAUCGGAUUUUGGAUCAUCGCCGGACUCGGACUAAAAAAUAUGUUUACCAUCUACAUAUAAAUUAAUUGCAGUACAUCACAAUUAAUAUGGCUUAUAUUCAAUGUAAAAUCCAGUAACAGAAUAAAUAAAUAAUUUAUUUAUAAA
Long non-coding RNA from Leptopilina heterotoma, 474 nucleotides. RefSeq lists it as uncharacterized. The transcript is spliced from 3 exons. The record is from RefSeq and is a predicted model, not a curated record. NCBI's taxonomy places the organism in Eukaryota, Metazoa, Arthropoda, Insecta, Hymenoptera, Figitidae.